RNAcentral lists this long non-coding RNA (1295 nucleotides) under Cyanistes caeruleus (blue tit). RNAcentral describes it as "lncRNA (ENSCCEG00000000808.1)". Lineage: Eukaryota; Metazoa; Chordata; Aves; Passeriformes; Paridae. The record is from RNAcentral.
AAUUUCAUGUCCAUGGAGUGUCGGGUGAGGAUUUGGGGUUUGGGGUCAGGAUUUGGGAUUUUGGGGUCAGGAUUUGGGGUCAGGAUUUGGGAUUUUGGGGUUUGGGGUGCCCGCCUGUCGUCGCAGUAGGUGAAUUUCAUGUCCAUGGAGUGUCGGGUGAGGACGGUGCCCGAGCCCAGCGGGGCCUCGAUGGCUCCGGGGUGGGCGAUGGCCUCGCAGAUCAGCACCAGGCACCGCACGGGCCCCGAGCCCGGCCCCGAGUACGUGCGCAUGUGCCCGGCGCAGUGCAGCACCUGGGGGAGCCCCAAAUCACCCAAAAACACACAAAAACACCCAAAAUUCACACAAAAACACACAAAAUUCACCCAAAAACACCCCAAAAACACACAAAAUUCACCCAAAAACACCCAAAAUUCACCCAGAAAUACCCCAAAACACCCCAAAACCACCCAAAAUUCACCCAAAAACACCCAAAAACACCCUAAAAACACCCCCAAAAUCACCCCGUGCAGUGCAGCACCUGGGGGAGCCCUGAAAACACCCCAAAUCACCCCAAAAACACCCAAAAUUCACCCUAAAAACACCCAAAAUCACACCCAAAAACACACCCGAAAACACCCCAAAAUUACCCCCAAAUCACACCCAAAAUUACCCCAAAUCCACCCCAAAAACACCCCAAAAUCACACCCAAAAUCACCCCACGCAGUGCAGCACCUGCAGGGAGCCCCGAAAUCACCCCAAAACCACCCAAAAUCACCCCUGAAAACACCCCAAAUUCACCUCCAAAAUCAGCCCCAAAUUCACCCAAAAUCCCCCCAAAAUCCCGCCCGGAAACCUCCCGAAAAUUCCCGAAAUUCCCCCGGAAUUCUCCCCUGGGAUCCUCCCCAAAUAUCCCGAAAAUAUCCCCAAAAUAUCCCGAAAUAUCCCCAAAAAAUAUCCCCAAAAUAUCCCCAAAUAUCCCAAAAUAUCCCCAAAAAUAUCCCCAAAAUAUCCCCAAAAUAUCCCCAAAAAAUAUCCCCAAAAUAUCCCAAAAUAUCCUGAAAUGCCCCCAAAACAUCCCCGAAAUGUCCCCAAACGUCCCCAAAAUCCCCAAAUCCCCCAAAUUUUCCCAAAAUCCCCCAAAUUCCCCCCAAAUCCCCCCGCACCUUCCAGGACGCCGCUUUCAGGUUGAGGCAGCGCCCGCGGCCGCUCAGGGUGCUCUUCAUGCGCAGGGAGAAACUGAGGCCCGAGCGCUCCCCCCGCCGCCGGACACCCCCUGGGGGGGUUCCCGGAAUUGGGGAGGGGUCCCGGGGGUC